RNAcentral lists this long non-coding RNA (789 nucleotides) under Marmota monax (woodchuck). Lineage: Eukaryota; Metazoa; Chordata; Mammalia; Rodentia; Sciuridae. The record is from RNAcentral.
CAAAAACAUAAACAUAUGCUUGAUUAAAUUAAAUUAUAACAACUAUUAUCUUUUAAAAGGAUUGUAUCUUAUAAGCUUCAAACACUACUGCAAAUAAAUUUAAUUUUUACACUUACUAAAAACUUUUAAAAUGCCAUCUAACUUUUAAUACCAGUAGCAAUUGUGUUAAUCCAAUUUACUCCAACUUAAAUAUGAAUCUAAGAUCCUUAGAGCUUGGACGAAUAUUAAAUUAAUUUGUGGUUAAAUUUUGACUCUCUGAAAUCUUUGAUUAUCUGCACUUUCUAAAAGAUUAAAGGUCAUAAAGCAGAAAUGAUGAAAGUGGUACAAAUAAGCAGCAUGUAUUUGAUCUUUCUAAUGUUCAAAUUAUGGUGAGAAAUUAGAUACAGUGUGCCCAGAGUCUUAUGUGCAUUAAAGAUACAGUUAAUAUAUCUGAAAGCUAAAAUUAAAAGGUUUAAAUUUUUCAUUUCACAGAUGUUUGUGUAUGUUUAAAUUUACAUAUAGCGUUACAUUAGAAUUGUGAAAAUGAGAACCUUAUGUAUAGUAAAGAUUAAAAAAAAAUUUAUAGGACUGGGGAUGUAGCUCAGUGGCAGAGUGCAGGCCUAGCAUGUGCAAAGCCCAGUACUGAACCCCAGUACUGAAAGGAAAAACAAAACAAAACUAACCAUUCGGGAGGAAAAGUUCCUUGACUGGUCAGACUUUUUGUUUAAAAACAACAACAAAAUGUCUUAUUGUAUGGUGGCUUUAACAGAGAACAGAGUUUUGGUUUUGUUUUUUUCAUUUUUUUUAAAA